UCUCCUGCUUUCUCCCUUCUUGGACUCUUGGACAGCUGACAUGCUAUUGGUGCACAAGUGGAGAAGAAGGAAGUGUCAGGAAUGCCACGCACAGAGGAGAUAAGAAGAUGGAGGAAAAGGAAAGGAACUCUGGGCACAGUAACCUCCCUCAAAUCAGGCCUCAGGUCAUGUAAUUAGACUGUAUGGGAAUCUCGAGCCUUUUAAUACCUGGAGCAGCGUGACCGCCCUGUAAGCUGGGUCCCGGUCUGUGCCAUUGUGUCCUUUUGACAUUCUGCUCCGUUAUCUGGCUAGUGUGAGUGACUGCCCUGUAAUCAGGGUGCCAGUCACCUCCGCCUGUCUUUGGAGGGGCAUUGAGCUCUUUGUUAAACUGAGCAAUGUGACCGCCCUGUCACUGGGGUCCGGGUCUCUGCCCUCUUGCUCAUUUGGCUUUACGCCAUGCUCUGCCCCACUAGUCAGCGUGACAACCCUGUAAUUAGGGUCCAUGUCACAAGUCUCUCUAGAAUGGGACCUAUCGAGCUCUUUGGUACUUUGACAGCUGGACCUUCCUGUAAUUCAGGUUAUGGUCUCUCCUAUUGGGCUAAUGCCAGCGACCACCCUGUAAUCGGGGUACAAGUUGCAUCUCGCUUUUGAAAUCUGGGGGAUUAGAAACUUUUCAGUAACAUGGGCAGCUUGACCUCCCUGUAACUAGGGUUUGCGUCUCUGAGGCCCUGAGGGUCUCCGUUAGCUGGUUAGUGAGGUGUGACUGCCCUGUAAUCAGGAUGCCAGUCACCUCCGCCUGUCUUUGGAGGGGCAUUGAGCUCUUUGUUAAACUGAGCAAUGUGACCGCCCUGUCACUGGGGUCCGGGUCUCUGCCCUCUUGCUCAUUUGGCUUUACGCCGUGCUCUGCCCCACUAGUCAGCGUGACAACCCUGUAAUUAGGGUCUAUGUCACAAGUCUCUCUAGAAUGGGCCCUAUCGAGCUCUCUGGUACUUUGACAGCUUGACCUUCCUGUAAUUCAGGAUAUGGUCCCUGCUCUUUGGCUAAUGCCAGCGACCACCCUGUAAUCAGGGUACAGGUUGCAGCUCGCUCUUAAAAACUGGGAGAUUAGCAUCAUUUCACGAACAUGGGCAGCUUGACCUCCCUGUAACUAGGGUGUGUGUCUCCGAGGCCCUUUGGCUCUCUUGGCCUCGUGCUGUCUUCACAGCCUGCUGCGAACGACCGCCCUGUAAUCAGGGAUCGGGUCUUUGCCCUCUAGUCUCUAGGCACUAGGCCAAAUGCAGCCACUGCCCUGAAUGAGCACCCUGUAAACAGGGUACAGGUCUCAUCAGCUACUAUUUAUGGUGCCCCCAUGAGACUGUGUCCAGACUUCUGGCCCUUCAAGCAGCGCUUCCAACAUGCCUGGAAAUCUGCAGCCAAGUCUCCUGCUUUCUCCUCCCUUCUUGGACUCUUGGACAGCUGACAUGCUAUUGGUGCACAAGUGGAGAAGAAGGAAGUGUCAGGAAUGCCACGCACAGAGGAGAUAAGAAGAUGGAGGAAAAGGAAAGGAACUCUGGGCACAGUAACCUCCCUCAAAUCAGGCCUCAGGUCAUGUAAUUAGACUGUAUGGGAAUCUCGAGGCUUUUAAUACCUGGAGCAGCGUGACCGCCCUGUAAGCUGGGUCCCGGUCUGUGCCAUUGUGUCCUUUUGACAUUCUGCUCCGUUAUCUGGCUAGUGUGAGUGACUGCCCUGUAAUCAGGGUGCCAGUCACCUCCGCCUGUCUUUGGAGGGGCAUUGAGCUCUUUGUUAAACUGAGCAAUGUGACCGCCCUGUCACUGGGGUCCGGGUCUCUGCCCUCUUGCUCAUUUGGCUUUACGCCAUGCUCUGCCCCACUAGUCAGCGUGACAACCCUGUAAUUAGGGUCCAUGUCACAAGUCUCUCUAGAAUGGGACCUAUCGAGCUCUUUGGUACUUUGACAGCUGGACCUUCCUGUAAUUCAGGUUAUGGUCUCUCCUAUUGGGCUAAUGCCAGCGACCACCCUGUAAUCGGAGUACAAGUUGCAUC
Molecule: long non-coding RNA, 2019 nt
Organism: Mauremys reevesii (Reeves's turtle)
Lineage: Eukaryota; Metazoa; Chordata; Testudines; Geoemydidae
Exons: 3
Source: RefSeq, a predicted model, not a curated record